This 477-nucleotide ribosomal RNA is filed under the name uncultured anaerobic ammonium-oxidizing bacterium. RNAcentral describes it as "bacterial SSU rRNA". It matches the Rfam family "Bacterial small subunit ribosomal RNA", at positions 365 to 832 of the family's 1533-position model. The record is from RNAcentral.
UUCGCAAUGCCCGAAAGGGUGACGAAGCGACGCCGCGUGCGGGAAGAAGGCCUUCGGGUUGUAAACCGCUGUCGGGAGUUAAGAAGUGCAAGGGUGUUAAUAGCAUCUUUGCUUGACUAAGGCUCCGGAGGAAGCCACGGCUAACUCUGUGCCAGCAGCCGCGGUAAUACAGAGGCGGCAAGCGUUGUUCGGAAUUAUUGGGCGUAAAGAGCACGUAGGCGGUUCUGCAAGUCGGCUGUGAAAGCCUUCCGCUCAACGGAAGAACAGCAGUUGAUACUACAGGACUAGAGUGCGGGAGGGGAGAGUGGAACUUCUGGUGGAGCGGUGAAAUGCGUAGAUAUCAGAAGGAACGCCGGCGGCGAAAGCGACUCUCUGGCCCGUAACUGACGCUGAGUGUGCGAAAGCUAGGGGAGCAAACGGGAUUAGAUACCCCGGUAGUCCUAGCCGUAAACGAUGGGCACUAAGUAGAGGGGUUUU